UACGUAGUUAGCCGGUGCUUUUUCUGCAGGUACCGUCACUUUCGCUUCUUCCCUACUAAAAGAGGUUUACAACCUGAAGGCCGUCAUCCCUCACGCGGCGUUGCUGCAUCAGGCUUUCGCCCAUUGUGCAAUAUUCCCCACUGCUGCCUCCCGUAGGAGUCUGGGCCGUGUCUCAGUCCCAGUGUGGCCGGUCACCCUCUCAGGCCGGCUACCCGUCGUCGCCUUGGGUGAGCCAUUACCUCACCAACAAGCUGAUAGGCCGCGAGUCCAUCCCCAACCAAAAAAUCUUUCCACCACCAGACCAUGCGGCCAGUGAUCAUAUCCAGUAUUAGACGUCGUUUCCAACGCUUAUCCCAGAGUCAGGGGCAGGUUACUCACGUGUUACUCACCCGUUCGCCACUAAUCCACCCAGCCAAGCCUGGGCAUCAUCGUUCGACUUGCAUGUGUUAAGCACGCCGCAGCCGUUCGUCCUGAGCCAGGAUACAAACCGUCUCUGAGACGUGACCG
This 507-nucleotide ribosomal RNA is filed under the name uncultured Curtobacterium sp. RNAcentral describes it as "partial 16S ribosomal RNA". Lineage: Bacteria; Bacillati; Actinomycetota; Actinomycetes; Micrococcales; Microbacteriaceae. The record is from RNAcentral.